RNAcentral lists this ribosomal RNA (451 nucleotides) under uncultured bacterium. Its description in RNAcentral is "bacterial SSU rRNA". It matches the Rfam family "Bacterial small subunit ribosomal RNA", at positions 29 to 525 of the family's 1533-position model. The record is from RNAcentral.
GCGAACGCUGGCGGCAGGCCUAAACAUGCAAGUCGAGCGCUCGUAGCAAUACGAGAGCGGCAGACGGGUGAGUAACACGUGGGAACGUACCCUUUGGUUCGGAACAACCCAGGGAAACUUGGGCUAAUACCGGAUAAGUCCGCAAGGAGAAAGAUUUAUCGCCGAAGGAUCGGCCCGCGUCUGAUUAGCUUGUUGGUGAGGUAACGGCUCACCAAGGCGACGAUCAGUAGCUGGUCUGAGAGGAUGAUCAGCCACACUGGGACUGAGACACGGCCCAGACUCCUACGGGAGGCAGCAGUUAGGAAUCUUGGACAAUGGGCGCAAGCCUGAUCCAGCCAUGCCGCGUGAGUGAUGAAGGCCUUAGGGUUGUAAAGCUCUUUCAGCGGGGAAGAUAAUGACGGUACCCGCAGAAGAAGCCCCGGCUAACUUCGUGCCAGCCGCCGCGGUAAUU